CCAAUAGCGUAUAUUAAAGUUGUUGUGGUUAAAAAGCUCGUAGUUGAACCUUGGGCCUGGCUGGCCGGUCCGCCUCACCGCGUGUACUGGUCCGGCCGGGCCUUUCCCUCUGUGGAACCUCAUGCCCUUCACUGGGUGUGACGGGGAAGCAGGACUUUUACUGUGAAAAAAUUAGAGUGCUCCAAGCAGGCCUAUGCUCGAAUACAUUAGCAUGGAAUAAUAAAAUAGGACGUGCGGUUCUAUUUUGUUGGUUUCUAGGACCGCCGUAAUGAUUAAUAGGGACAGUCGGGGGCAUCAGUAUUCAAUUGUCAGAGGUGAAAUUCUUGGAUUUACUGAAGGCUAACUACUGCGAAAGCAUUUGCCAAGGAUGUUUUCAUUAAUCAGUGAACGAAAGUUAGGGGAUCGAAGACGAUCAGAUACCGUCGUAGUCUUAACCAUAAACGAUGCCGACCGGCGAUCCGCUGUCGUUACUUGAAUGACUCAGCGGGCAGCCUCCG
RNAcentral lists this unclassified non-coding RNA (497 nucleotides) under uncultured Paraglomus. RNAcentral's name for it is "SSU rRNA". It matches the Rfam family "Eukaryotic small subunit ribosomal RNA", at positions 591 to 1092 of the family's 1831-position model. The record is from RNAcentral. Lineage: Eukaryota; Fungi; Glomeromycota; Glomeromycetes; Paraglomerales; Paraglomeraceae.